Molecule: ribosomal RNA, 253 nt
Filed under: uncultured bacterium
Lineage: Bacteria
Description: partial 16S ribosomal RNA
Rfam family: Bacterial small subunit ribosomal RNA
Source: RNAcentral
UACAGAGGUCUCGAGCGUUAGGCGGAAUCACUGGGCUUAAAGCGUGUGUAGGUGGAUCGUUAAGUACCUUGUGAAAUCCCACGGCUUAACCGUGGAACUGCUUGGUAUACUGGCGGUCUUGAGCCAGCUAGGGGCUACCGGAACAAAUGGUGGAGCGGUGAAAUGCGUAGAUAUCAGGAGGAACACCAAUGGCGAAGGCAGCACUCUGGGACGUGACUGACGCUGAGACGCGAAAGCGUGGGGAGCAAACAGG